This 801-nucleotide ribosomal RNA is filed under the name Bacillus sp. Sb1-6a. Its description in RNAcentral is "bacterial SSU rRNA". It matches the Rfam family "Bacterial small subunit ribosomal RNA", at positions 549 to 1350 of the family's 1533-position model. Lineage: Bacteria; Bacillati; Bacillota; Bacilli; Caryophanales; Bacillaceae. The record is from RNAcentral.
AAUUAUUGGGCGUAAAGGGCUCGCAGGCGGUUUCUUAAGUCUGAUGUGAAAGCCCCCGGCUCAACCGGGGAGGGUCAUUGGAAACUGGGGAACUUGAGUGCAGAAGAGGAGAGUGGAAUUCCACGUGUAGCGGUGAAAUGCGUAGAGAUGUGGAGGAACACCAGUGGCGAAGGCGACUCUCUGGUCUGUAACUGACGCUGAGGAGCGAAAGCGUGGGGAGCGAACAGGAUUAGAUACCCUGGUAGUCCACGCCGUAAACGAUGAGUGCUAAGUGUUAGGGGGUUUCCGCCCCUUAGUGCUGCAGCUAACGCAUUAAGCACUCCGCCUGGGGAGUACGGUCGCAAGACUGAAACUCAAAGGAAUUGACGGGGGCCCGCACAAGCGGUGGAGCAUGUGGUUUAAUUCGAAGCAACGCGAAGAACCUUACCAGGUCUUGACAUCCUCUGACAAUCCUAGAGAUAGGACGUCCCCUUCGGGGGCAGAGUGACAGGUGGUGCAUGGUUGUCGUCAGCUCGUGUCGUGAGAUGUUGGGUUAAGUCCCGCAACGAGCGCAACCCUUGAUCUUAGUUGCCAGCAUUCAGUUGGGCACUCUAAGGUGACUGCCGGUGACAAACCGGAGGAAGGUGGGGAUGACGUCAAAUCAUCAUGCCCCUUAUGACCUGGGCUACACACGUGCUACAAUGGGCAGAACAAAGGGCAGCGAAACCGCGAGGUUAAGCCAAUCCCACAAAUCUGUUCUCAGUUCGGAUCGCAGUCUGCAACUCGACUGCGUGAAGCUGGAAUCGCUAGUAAUCGCGGAUC